AUCUUCGUCUGGUACACAAAGCUUUCAGCUCAUCAAUAAAGCGGCUCCCGAUUCUUCUACUAAUAUUUAAGAGAGAGAUGACGUCCGACAUGGAAAUGAAUUCCUGCUCAGAUUGGAUCUGCGGCGAUGCCACGCCAUCUCGCUUUCAUCUCGGGGCGACCAGUUGACCGAUCUGAUAAGAGUGGAAUUCUUCUUCUCCAUCUCCUCGUUCAGCAUCCCGUUCACUGUAUGAACA
This 235-nucleotide long non-coding RNA is filed under the name Musa acuminata (dwarf banana). RNAcentral describes it as "long non-coding RNA (MACU_LNC006364)". Lineage: Eukaryota; Viridiplantae; Streptophyta; Magnoliopsida; Zingiberales; Musaceae. The record is from RNAcentral.